GACAAGGGGAAAGGGAAGACUUCUUAUAAAUCAACAUAGGACUAUCAUGCACAGGUGUAGAUCCACUUAAUGGGAGAAAGUUUAAUGCCCAAAUUUUUUUUAAGAAGUUCCAAAAAGAAUACAAACAGGCUUAUAUUUCAACUCCCAGAUCCCUCUACAAAUAAAUCACCAUGCUUCAGAGCAUCCAACCUAAUGAGAAAUCCGUUCGAACAAAUACAAAUAUAAUUUUAUGAGACAAGCUAUUUCCCAGGCCAAUAAUAAGGCCUCUCAUCUAAAAAAAUAGAACCCAUAAAGGGCCUAAACAAUAAAAAUUUUAAGGAAAGAAAUAAUAUCCUCACCUCACAUGUAUCCAUUCCACAUUUGCCAUUCUGAUCAGCUUGCAACAAAUGGAAAAUGAGCAAUCAUUUAUUAGAGGCCGAGUUCUCGGGUAUGCUUUCCUUCUCC
Molecule: long non-coding RNA, 444 nt
Filed under: Amborella trichopoda
Lineage: Eukaryota; Viridiplantae; Streptophyta; Magnoliopsida; Amborellales; Amborellaceae
Description: long non-coding RNA (ATRI_LNC001263)
Source: RNAcentral